RNAcentral lists this ribosomal RNA (461 nucleotides) under uncultured bacterium. Its description in RNAcentral is "partial 16S ribosomal RNA". It matches the Rfam family "Bacterial small subunit ribosomal RNA", at positions 29 to 506 of the family's 1533-position model. The record is from RNAcentral.
AACAAACGCUGGCGGCGUGCCUAAUACAUGCAAGUCGAACGGGGAAAGCUUUCGGGUGAGUACUAGUGGCGCACGGGUGAGGAACGCGUGGAUAAUCUGCCUUAGAGUGGGGGAUAACUAGUCGAAAGAUUAGCUAAUACCGCAUAAGACCACGAGAGCUGCGGCUUUUGAGGUCAAAGGUUUUUCGCUCUAAGAUGAGUCCGCGUAAGAUUAGCUAGUUGGUGAGGUAACGGCUCACCAAGGCGACGAUCUUUAACUGGUCUGAGAGGAUGAUCAGUCACACUGGAACUGAGACACGGUCCAGACUCCUACGGGAGGCAGCAGUAGGGAAUAUUGCACAAUGGAGGAAACUCUGAUGCAGCGACGCCGCGUGAGUGAUGAAGGCCUUCGGGUCGUAAAGCUCUGUCGCAGGGGAAUAACACAAUGAAGGUACCCUGUAAGAAAGGAUCGGCUAACUUCGU